Molecule: long non-coding RNA, 387 nt
Filed under: Rattus norvegicus (Norway rat)
Lineage: Eukaryota; Metazoa; Chordata; Mammalia; Rodentia; Muridae
Description: long non-coding RNA NONRATT012500
Source: RNAcentral
CAGAUUGUGACAGUAUGAAGCCACUGGAGGGUGUGAGAAUUCUGGAUCUAACAAGAGUUCUGGCUGGACCUUUUGCCACGAUGAAUUUAGGAGAUCUGGGAGCAGAAGUUAUAAAAGUGGAGAGACCAGGAGCUGGUGAUGACACACGAUCUUGGGGACCUCCUUUUGUGAACACAGAAAGUACAUAUUUUCUUAGUGUUAAUCGAAAUAAAAAAAGUAUAGCUGUUAAUAUCAAGGAUCCAAGAGGAGUGAGAAUCGUCAAAGAGCUUGCAGCCAUUUGUGAUGUGUUUGUGGAAAACUAUGUCCCUGGGAAGCUUUCUGAGAUGGGCCUAGGAUAUGCAGAUAUAGAUAAGAUUGCGCCUCACAUCGUCUACUGCUCCAUCACAG